This 324-nucleotide unclassified non-coding RNA is filed under the name soil metagenome. Its description in RNAcentral is "partial contains 5.8S ribosomal RNA, internal transcribed spacer 2, and large subunit ribosomal RNA". The stretch from base 1 to 120 matches the Rfam family "5.8S ribosomal RNA", at positions 35 to 154 of the family's 154-position model. The record is from RNAcentral.
GAUGAAGAACGCAGCGAAAUGCGAUAAGUAAUGUGAAUUGCAGAAUUCAGUGAAUCAUCGAAUCUUUGAACGCACAUUGCGCCCCUUGGUAUUCCGAGGGGCAUGCCUGCUCGAGCGUCAUUAUAACCCCUCAAGCUCAGCUUGGUGUUGGGGCCUGCUGCACUGGCAGCCCUUAAAAUCAGUGGCGGCGCCAUCUGGCUCUAAGCGUAGUAAUUCUUCUCGCUAUGGAGUCCUGGUGGAUGCUUGCCAUCAACCCCCAAUUUUUCUAUGGUUGACCUCGGAUCAGGUAGGGAUACCCGCUGAACUUAAGCAUAUCAAUAAGCG